CCUACGGGCGGCAGCAGUAGGGAAUAUUGCACAAUGGGGGAAACCCUGAUGCAGCGACGCCGCGUGGAGGAAGAAGUAUUUCGGUAUGUAAACUUCUAUCAGCAGAGAAGAUAAUGACGGUACCUGACGAAGAAGCACCGGCUAACUACGUGCCAGCAGCCGCGGUAAUACGUAGGGGGCAAGCGUUAUCCGGAUUUACUGGGUGUAAAGGGCGCGUAGGCGGUAGAGCAAGUCAGAAGUGAAAUCCCGUGGCUUAACCAUAGAACUGCUUUUGAAACUGUUAAUCUAGAGUGUAGGAGAGGUAAGUGGAAUUCCUGGUGUAGCGGUAAAAUGCGUAGAUAUUAGGAGGAAUACUCGUGGCGAAGGCGGCCUACUGGAACGUAACUGACGCUGAGGCUCGAAAGCGUGGGGAGCAAACAGGAUUAGAUACCCGAGUAGUC
RNAcentral lists this ribosomal RNA (440 nucleotides) under uncultured bacterium. RNAcentral's name for it is "partial 16S ribosomal RNA". It matches the Rfam family "Bacterial small subunit ribosomal RNA", at positions 338 to 795 of the family's 1533-position model. The record is from RNAcentral.